AACGAACGCUGGCGGCAGGCCUAACACAUGCAAGUCGAACGCUCCGCAAGGGGAGUGGCGCACGGGUGAGUAACACGUGGGAACCUACCUUCUGGUACGGAACAACCAAGGGAAACUUUGGCUAAGACCGUAUACGACCUCCGGGUGAAAGAUUGAUCGCCGGAAGAGGGGCCCGCGUCCGAUUAGGUAGUUGGUGAGGUAACGGCUCACCAAGCCUUCGAUCGGUAGCUGGUCUGAGAGGAUGACCAGCCACACUGGGACUGAGACACGGCCCAGACUCCUACGGGAGGCAGCAGUGGGGAAUAUUGGACAAUGGGCGCAAGCCUGAUCCAGCCAUGCCGCGUGCGGGAAGAAGGCCU
This 359-nucleotide ribosomal RNA is filed under the name uncultured bacterium. RNAcentral's name for it is "bacterial SSU rRNA". It matches the Rfam family "Bacterial small subunit ribosomal RNA", at positions 29 to 417 of the family's 1533-position model. The record is from RNAcentral.